This 253-nucleotide ribosomal RNA is filed under the name uncultured bacterium. RNAcentral's name for it is "partial 16S ribosomal RNA". It matches the Rfam family "Bacterial small subunit ribosomal RNA", at positions 524 to 776 of the family's 1533-position model. The record is from RNAcentral.
UACAGAGGGUGCGAGCGUUAAUCGGAAUUACUGGGCGUAAAGCGCACGUAGGCGGCUUCUUAAGUCGGUGGUGAAAUCCUGGAGCUCAACUCCAGAACUGCCUUCGAUACUGGGAAGCUCGAGUCCGGGAGAGGUGAGUGGAACUGCGAGUGUAGAGGUGAAAUUCGUAGAUAUUCGCAAGAACACCAGUGGCGAAGGCGGCUCACUGGCCCGGUACUGACGCUGAGGUGCGAAAGCGUGGGGAGCAAACAGG